GCCGGGCAUGGUGGCGUGUGCCUGUAGUCCCAGCUACUUGGGAGGCUGAGGCAGAAGAAUCACUUGAACCCAGGAGGCGGAGGUUGCAGUGAGCCAAAAUCAUGCCACUGCAAUCCAGCCUGGGUGACAGAGUGAGACUCCGUCUCAA
This 148-nucleotide signal recognition particle RNA is filed under the name Nomascus leucogenys (northern white-cheeked gibbon). RNAcentral describes it as "Metazoan signal recognition particle RNA". It matches the Rfam family "Metazoan signal recognition particle RNA". From Rfam's summary of the family: The signal recognition particle (SRP) is a universally conserved ribonucleoprotein. The record is from Rfam by way of RNAcentral. Lineage: Eukaryota; Metazoa; Chordata; Mammalia; Primates; Hylobatidae.